RNAcentral lists this long non-coding RNA (406 nucleotides) under Carica papaya (papaya). RNAcentral's name for it is "long non-coding RNA (CPAP_LNC010373)". The record is from RNAcentral. Lineage: Eukaryota; Viridiplantae; Streptophyta; Magnoliopsida; Brassicales; Caricaceae.
GUCGCUAAUGGAGCCCGAGUCUGGUGUGUUUGUCUGUUAGCUGUUGUUUGGCCUAUUUUACGGCUUUAAAUGCAGUAUGAGGUCUGAUGUUUUCAUUUCAUAGUUUCAUGUGCAUGUAUUACUGUUUUAUUGAUUAUAGGUUGAAUGACUAAGAACCCGAUGUUGUAUGUUGUCUUGUUUGGCAUAAAUUACUAGUUUGCUUGUUUGUGUGUGAAUUGAUGAUGCUGACUGAGGAAAAGGGGAAUGAGAGGUUAUGUAAAUUGAUAAUUGUAUACUGUGGUCAGCCUGACUAGAUAUCUUGGGAGAUGGUGGACGGACCGGGUCCGUAGGGAACCCUACUGGGAUUGUGGUCUCUUAUACCGGACGAGGUAUGGAGACCUUAUGUGUUUUGGCGCCCAUACCGGAC